RNAcentral lists this ribosomal RNA (406 nucleotides) under uncultured bacterium. RNAcentral's name for it is "partial 16S ribosomal RNA". It matches the Rfam family "Bacterial small subunit ribosomal RNA", at positions 30 to 526 of the family's 1533-position model. The record is from RNAcentral.
AUUGAACGCUGGCGGCAGGCUUAACACAUGCAAGUCGAGCGAGCGGAGGACGGGUGAGUAAGGUCUGGGAAACUGCCUGAUGGAGGGGGAUCACUACUGGAAAAGGUAGCUAAUACCGCAUACCAUCAGAUGUGCCCACAUUGGCAUAGCUAGUAGUUGGGGUAAUGGCUCACCUAGGCGACGAGCCCUAGCUGGUCUGAGAGGAUGACCAGCCAAACUGGAACGUAGACACGGUCCAUACUCCUACGGGAGGCAGCAUUGGGGAAUAUUGCACAAUGGGCGCAAGCCUGAUGCAGCCAUGCCGCGUGUGUGAAGAAGGCCUUCGGGUGGUAAAGCACUUUCAGCGAGGAGGCGUUACUCGCAGAAGAAGCACCGGCUAACUCCGUGCCAGCAGCCGCGGUAAUUC